GACGAACGCUGGCGGCGUGCUUAACACAUGCAAGUCGAGCGGUAAGGCCCUUUCGGGGGUACGACGAGCGGCGAACGGGUGAGUAACACGUGGGUGACCUGCCCUCAGCUCUGGGAUAAGCCUGGGAAACCGGGGUCUAAUACUGGAUAUGACUCCAUGACGCAUGUUGUGGGGUGGAAAGCCUUGUGCGGCUGAGGAUGGGCCCGCGGCCUAUCAGCUUGUUGGUGGGGUGAGGCCUACCAAGGCGACGACGGGUAGCCGGCCUGAGAGGGCGACCGGCCACACUGGGACUGAGACACGGCCCAGACUCCUACGGGGAGGCAGCAGGUGGGGAAUCUUGCGCAAUAGGCGAAAGCCUGACGCAGCAACG
Molecule: ribosomal RNA, 370 nt
Filed under: uncultured bacterium
Lineage: Bacteria
Description: bacterial SSU rRNA
Rfam family: Bacterial small subunit ribosomal RNA
Source: RNAcentral